GCAGUAGCCAAGCCACCAGCUUUCACAGAUGAUGGCUCACACUGAAAUAACUUGUUCCUAGGGUAGUUGGUGAUCAAUGACUCAAAUUAAACCUUAGAAAAGUUUUUUUUCUUCCUGACACUUUAUAGGUUUCUCUACUUAUCUCCUCCCUGGAUGGCUGUAUAAGCCAGAUGACGGCUACCUGAACACUCUAGAAAAAGUGAAUUCACAGAGGCUUUCACAGGGCUUGAUCUGCAGUCCUUUCAUCUCAAAGAGAAUGGCCAGCAAGGAGCCCAUUCAUGGAGCCUUGUUGGACAACUCCACCUACACAGUCUUCAGUGGUGCUCUGGAGAACAGAAGCUGACAACAGGCUAUGGUGAUCCAGAGUCCUCACCGUCUACUCUCCCAUCCCUUCAACCAAACUUUCCUGGGCAACUCUGAUGCCAGGCAUUUCUAGCACUGUGACAGAACCUGGUGGAGGACAGAGGGCUCCACUUCAAAGGUAACCACCUGUCUCCUUCUGCUAUAACAGGGCUGACCUCAGUGCAGCAGAGGGCAGAGCUUGGAGGCAGCUGCUGAGAAUUUGCACUCUAAAGACAUCCACCUAAAUCACAAGCUUUAUAUCUGGGCACUCAGCCAGACCUCCUGACCAUAUCCUGGACUGCGGACUUUGGAUGGUGGAACGGGGGUGGAAUUGAACAUUAAAUGAGCAACAUGCUAAUUCCAUGCAAAUGAAUAUCUAUUUUGAAUCAACAGCUUGGGCACUUUUUCUAGGAGGGCUGAGGCAGCAGGAAUCUAAAGAGAGGAUGAGAGGGGGAGGGGUUUCUCUCAGAGGUGGCAGAGAGUGCAAAGGGGGCUCCAGGCUGGGCAGAGCCACCUCCUGCCCACAGUUCCUAAUGCUAUUUGAUUGGCUCAUUAGCAAGUAUGAAACAUGGGAAGUCCAAAAAAAAGGAAUAAAGAAAAAAA
This is a long non-coding RNA of Homo sapiens (human), 945 nucleotides long. NCBI's taxonomy places the organism in Eukaryota, Metazoa, Chordata, Mammalia, Primates, Hominidae. The record is from Ensembl.